Molecule: ribosomal RNA, 484 nt
Filed under: uncultured bacterium
Lineage: Bacteria
Description: partial 16S ribosomal RNA
Rfam family: Bacterial small subunit ribosomal RNA
Source: RNAcentral
AUUGAACGCUGGCGGCAGGCCUAACACAUGCAAGUCGAGCGGAUGAAGGGAGCUUGCUCCUGCAUUCAGCGGCGGACGGGUGAGUAAUGCCUAGGAAUCUGCCUGCUAGUGGGGGAUAACGUCCGGAAACGGGCGCUAAUACCGCAUACGUCCUGAGGGAGAAAGUGGGGGAUCUUCGGACUUCACGCUAUCAGAUGAGCCUAGGUCGGAUUAGCUAGUUGGUGGGGUAAAGGCCUACCAAGGCGACGAUCGGUAACUGGUCUGAGGGGAUGAUCAGUCACACGGGAACUGAGACACGGUCCAGACUCCUACGGGAGGCAGCAGUGGGGAAUAUUGGACAAAGGGCGGAAACCUGAUCCAGCCAUGCCGCGUGUGUGAAGAAGGUCUUCGGAUUGGAAAGCACUUUAAGUUGGGAGGAAGGGCAGUAAGUUAAUACCUUGCUGUUUUGACGUUACCAACAGAAUAAGCACCGGCUAACUUCGUG